Rhodamnia argentea is the source of this 1431-nucleotide long non-coding RNA. RefSeq lists it as uncharacterized. NCBI's taxonomy places the organism in Eukaryota, Viridiplantae, Streptophyta, Magnoliopsida, Myrtales, Myrtaceae. The transcript has 4 exons. The record is from RefSeq and is a predicted model, not a curated record.
ACAGAAGAAGUUCGUCUUCUUGAAAUAGAGUUCCUAGCGAACCGACAGUGAUGGAGGCAGACGAGCGGAGGCGACAGACUACCACCGCCGUCCGAAUCCAUGGAAACUGAAGAUGUACCUUCGGGUGAACCAUUCUCUGCUGAGGUUUUGGGCUUCGUUCGGCUUGCUGUGGAUCACUUUCAUAUGCUUGCUUGUUUUUCUCCUACUGCUUUCAUUGGCAACAAGACAUGCAGAGAUGGAAGCUGUUGUUGCACUUCUUGAACAGAGGCAGAGGACUCAUUUUCGGCUGCAGAAGUUGCAGAGAAGUUUUCAGCAUGCUCUCUUUACGUGACAACCAUGCAUAAUGUGUGCAAAUGAUAAAUUUGGAGGCUGUUGCUCAAUACUGUCGAGGUAUUCAAGUAGCUCUGACGCAUGCAUUAGCUCCAAAACCUCACAAGUAAUGGAGAUCUGCGUGGAUUGAUUCUUCCUGUUGAAUCCCCUCAUGAAUCCCCUCAUGGCUUUGCACGACCAGUUACUUGUGCCUAGAACAAGUGGGCUGCGUGGUGUGACCUUCUAUAGUGUAGCCCGUUAAAAGGGAGUGGUGAUGUUUCUUGCUGUGGCAGUGUACUUACAACUACAGAUUUCCUUCUAUGGUAAGUAGUCAAUCGCAACGAGGACGCAAUAAAGGUCUUCAAGAAGAAGUUAGACAACAUCCUUGCUCUUCAUCCCUGAUUGUAUUGUUCAUUUGACUAUAACCUAAGUCAAACUUGCUUUGGAACUAUAGUUGUGUGAGUGUUUGUAUUCUACCUGUAAAGCGCAAAUCUGGAUGUGACGUCAUUGAUGCUGAUUCAGUGAUUCUAGCAUAUCAAGUUUCUCUCCCGUUUUGUGUGUGAUGUCAGAACAAUUAAUUAUUUGUCUCAAGAUGUUACAAAAUUUAAUAAUCAUAGUGUGUUCAACAGCCUUUUAAGUAUAGAGAUCUGUGUGAAUGUUAUUGACGACGUUUUGCCUUAUUAUGGUAAGAGGAUGUAGUUAAACAUCUAGCAUCCCAGAAGUGUCUUCAAAUGAUUCAGUGCACUCUGACUAGCAAUGUAUGUGCCAUUAACUGCUUUUCCAAUCCCAGAAUUUCAUCAAGGGACCUGCGAAAGGAAGCGUGAUGCAUAUCCAGAUCAGUUUUUGGCCGAAUGUUCAUGCGUUUACUCGGGGUUGCAGCUGUGAUCGGAAGUCCAUUCCGUGCUUUAACUUGAUUAUCAGAUUGUAAAGAUAAUUGAUGUCAUAAACAAUGUAGGCAUCACUUUUCUCAUGCUAAUCUUUGUCAUCUAUAUAGUCUGUAAUCUAGCUUGAUUUUCAUUUUGAGUUUUUUGAUCUUUGAGAUUAUUCGGGGUUUGCUGUUAAUGUGUCUGAGCCUCAUAAUUAUGGACUAUAUAGUGUGCAUGAUCCCUAGGGAUGAUAAAA